Molecule: long non-coding RNA, 263 nt
Filed under: Hordeum vulgare
Lineage: Eukaryota; Viridiplantae; Streptophyta; Magnoliopsida; Poales; Poaceae
Description: long non-coding RNA (HVUL_LNC021117)
Source: RNAcentral
CCUUAGCAAUCGCCAAACCAAUCUCCAAGAGGUUAUUGACCAUGCCUGAGCAAUAUCAACCUGACCACGAAGGUCUAUUCCUGCAAGCAAUCGAAGACCAAGCAAGAAUAUGAUAUUGCAAUCUGAAUAUUGCGAAUAUAGAUGAAGUAUUGAUAAGGGUGGGGAUCCAAAAGCGGUCUUAGUCUGGUCGUUGGACACAAACGAAGUACACAACGUUGCAAUGACUAACUUUUAACUAAAUAAAUCCCAACCAAAAAGCUACU